UUUGUUCUAUAUAUAUAUAUCUUCAAAGCUUCUUCUUCUUCCCUACUGGCAGUAACUCAAACACCAGAUUGUUUAAGACGUAGCCAUGAACAAGUUCAAGAAAUCUCAGAUUCUGAUACUAUCUGUUGUGGCAGCACUUUUAUUCGUGCACCUCUUUUUUC
Molecule: long non-coding RNA, 161 nt
Organism: Hibiscus syriacus
Lineage: Eukaryota; Viridiplantae; Streptophyta; Magnoliopsida; Malvales; Malvaceae
Exons: 3
Source: RefSeq, a predicted model, not a curated record